Non-coding RNA from Parasteatoda tepidariorum (common house spider), 208 nucleotides. The record is from RefSeq and is a predicted model, not a curated record. Lineage: Eukaryota; Metazoa; Arthropoda; Arachnida; Araneae; Theridiidae.
ACAGGAUCCAGGAAGCUACCUUAGAAGUGUUAUUUGACUCUACUACAAAAAGAUUGCUUAUACUGGAUUGAAAAUAUAUUCCUUGCAGAAGAAUUAUCAGAUAUGCAUGGGCUUUGUAUUGAGUACUUCACCGCCAUAUCGUGUCCCUGGGGACAUCUUCCGAGAUCUCCAUUUCUGACUAGAUGUCCAUGUUUGCCAAAAUCUUCAU